CCCUUAGAUGUUCUGGGCCGCACGCGCGCUACACUGAUUCAUGCAACAAGUUUUGUCCUUGGCUGAUAGGCCUGGGUAAUCUUUGAACGUGAAUCGUGAUGGGGAUAGAUGAUUGCAAUUAUUCAUCUUCAACGAGGAAUUCCUAGUAAACGCAAGUCAUCAGCUUGCAUUGAUUACGUCCCUGCCCUUUGUACACACCGCCCGUCGCACCUACCGAUUGAAUGGUCCGGUGAAAUCUUCGGAUCUGAGAGAGGUCUGAUUAAUUUCGGACGCCUUUUGGAAAAGUUGUUUAAACCUUACCAUUUAGAGGAAGGUGAAGUCGUAACA
Molecule: ribosomal RNA, 327 nt
Filed under: uncultured eukaryote
Lineage: Eukaryota
Description: partial 18S ribosomal RNA
Rfam family: Eukaryotic small subunit ribosomal RNA
Source: RNAcentral